This 915-nucleotide ribosomal RNA is filed under the name uncultured bacterium. Its description in RNAcentral is "bacterial SSU rRNA". It matches the Rfam family "Bacterial small subunit ribosomal RNA", at positions 8 to 917 of the family's 1533-position model. The record is from RNAcentral.
CAGGGUUUGAUCCUGGCUCAGGACGAACGCUGGCGGCGUGCUUAACACAUGCAAGUCGAACGCUGAAGGCCCAGCUUGCUGGGUUGGAUGAGUGGCGAACGGGUGAGUAACACGUGAGUAACCUGCCCCYUUCUUUGGGAUAACGGUCGGAAACGGCUGCUAAUACCGGGUAUUCACUGUCCUUCGCAUGGGGGGUGGUGGAAAGGUUUUUUCUGGUGGGGGAUGGGCUCGCGGCCUAUCAGCUUGUUGGUGGGGUGAUGGCUUACCAAGGCUUUGACGGGUAACCGGCCUGAGAGGGUGACCGGUCACAUUGGGACUGAGAUACGGCCCAGACUCCUACGGGAGGCAGCAGUGGGGAAUAUUGCACAAUGGGCGAAAGCCUGAUGCAGCGACGCCGCGUGAGGGAUGACGGCCUUCGGGUUGUAAACCUCUUUCGCUCAUGGUCAAGCCGCAACUUGGGUUGUGGUGAGGGUAGUGGGUAAAGAAGCACCGGCUAACUACGUGCCAGCAGCCGCGGUAAUACGUAGGGUGCGAGCGUUGUCCGGAAUUAUUGGGCGUAAAGGGCUUGUAGGCGGUUUGUCGCGUCUGCCGUGAAAUCCUCUGGCUUAACUGGGGGCGUGCGGUGGGUACGGGCAGGCUUGAGUGCGGUAGGGGAGACUGGAACUCCUGGUGUAGCGGUGGAAUGCGCAGAUAUCAGGAAGAACACCGGUGGCGAAGGCGGGUCUCUGGGCCGUUACUGACGCUGAGGAGCGAAAGCGUGGGGAGCGAACAGGAUUAGAUACCCUGGUAGUCCACGCUGUAAACGUUGGGCACUAGGUGUGGGGGCCACCCGUGGUUUCUGCGCCGUAGCUAACGCUUUAAGUGCCCCGCCUGGGGAGUACGGCCGCAAGGCUAAAACUCAAAGGAAUUGACGGG